CUGGCUCAGGAUGAACGCUGGCGGCGUGCCUAACACAUGCAAGUCGAGCGAUUACUUCGGUAAAGAGCGGCGGACGGGUGAGUAACGCGUGGGUAACCUGCCUCAUACACAUGGAUAACAUACCGAAAGGUAUGCUAAUACAGGAUAAUAUAAGAGAUUCACAUGGAUUUUUUAUCAAAGCUCCGGCGGUAUGAGAUGGACCCGCGUCUGAUUAGCUGGUUGGUAAGGUAAUGGCUUACCAAGGCGACGAUCAGUAGCCGACCUGAGAGGGUGAUCGGCCACAUUGGAACUGAGACACGGUCCAAACUCCUACGGGAGGCAGCAGUGGGGAAUAUUGCACAAUGGGCGAAAGCCUGAUGCAGCAACGCCGCGUGAGUGAUGAAGGCCUUCGGGUCGUAAAACUCUGUCCUCAAGGAAGAUAAUGACGGUACUUGAGGAGGAAGCCCCGGCUAACUACGUGCCAGCCGCCGC
RNAcentral lists this ribosomal RNA (471 nucleotides) under uncultured bacterium. RNAcentral describes it as "bacterial SSU rRNA". It matches the Rfam family "Bacterial small subunit ribosomal RNA", at positions 19 to 518 of the family's 1533-position model. The record is from RNAcentral.